UAGCGCCUAAAGCCUUCUUCCAGGGUCCAAACACCCAUCUGUAAAGCUUAAAGAACCAUUUUAGCAUCCAGCCCCCUUAUUUGAGAACUCAAAGCCCCAUUUUGGGGGUUCAAGCCAUCAUUUUAAGGUCCAAACGAUCAAUUUUAGGGCAUAAGCCACCUUUUCAGGGUCCAAGGCAUCAUUUUAAUAGCCCAAAGCCUUAGUUUGAGGCACAAAACCUAAUUUUCAGGGCCCAGGGCCUCCAUUUGGGAUACAAUGCCUUAGGGUUAGUGUUUAAUGUUAUGUUUAGCUUUAAUGUUAGGGCUGUGGUUAAGGUUAGGGUUAGUGUUAACGGUUAGAGGUUAUGGAUGGGUUUGUUGGUAAUAGAAGAUGAAACAUACAAUAUUGCUUAAUAUGUGUUACAUUUGUGAUGUACUGUUCCGGGGCUGCGCUUGGAAGAUACAAAAUACAUGUGCAAGGAUAGCAUGAGAGAAUGCACCGAUUCAUGAUGAGGAGUAAGGAGGAGGACUAAAAGAAUGCCCAAUUUGUAAGACAUCUAGAUAACUGGGGCCUCGCGGACCCCAGGAACUGGAUCAAACCAACCUUGCGGUUUGGACUGAGACCAAGGGCUCAGAGAGCAUGCGUAAGAAGAAAAGGUUAAAAAGUUCAACUCUGAUGAAGACAUCUUACUUCAUCCCGACGACCACCCAGACAACCAGCAGAGAGUAAUACGCAAGCGCAGAAGGACUGAUAGGAUAAUUAGCAUACGAAGCGGGGCUAGGCAGAGCUAGGAAAUGAAUACGCAUAGAUGUGUUGUGAAACUUAAUGCAUAUGUAAUAUUUUAGGAGAUAAAAGAGAACUGAGUGAACAAAUCAGACAAAGUUAGAUUUGGGCAGGCAUGCCCCUAACUUCCGGCGCCUAAUAAAGCACCUUCAUAUAAUCACUUUGUGGAUUAUGUGUCUUCAUGAAUGCUAACAGGAGCAGCAGAAGCCCUGGGGCCAGGG
Molecule: long non-coding RNA, 983 nt
Organism: Cygnus olor (mute swan)
Lineage: Eukaryota; Metazoa; Chordata; Aves; Anseriformes; Anatidae
Exons: 4
Source: RefSeq, a predicted model, not a curated record